GACGAACGCUGGCGGCGUGCUUAACACAUGCAAGUCGAACGGUGAACCAGGGCUUGCCCUGGGGAUCAGUGGCGAACGGGUGAGUAACACGUGGGCAACCUGCCCCUGACUCUGGGAUAACUCCUCGAAAGAGGUGCUAAUACCGGAUACGACCACUUCGGGCAUCCGAUGGUGGUGGAAAGAAUUUUGGUCAGGGAUGGGCCCGCGGCCUAUCAGCUUGUUGGUGGGGUAACGGCCCACCAAGGCGACGACGGGUAGCCGGCCUGAGAGGGCGACCGGCCACACUGGGACUGAGACACGGCCCAGACUCCUACGGGAGGCAGCAGUGGGGAAUAUUGCGCAAUGGGCGAAAGCCUGACGCAGCGACGCCGCGUGAGGGACGACGGGCCUUCGGGUUGGUAAACCUCUUUCUAGCAGGGACGAAGCGAAAGUGACGGUACCUGCAGAAGAAGACACCGGCUAACUAACGUGCCAGCAG
This 478-nucleotide ribosomal RNA is filed under the name uncultured bacterium. Its description in RNAcentral is "bacterial SSU rRNA". It matches the Rfam family "Bacterial small subunit ribosomal RNA", at positions 28 to 514 of the family's 1533-position model. The record is from RNAcentral.